CUCCUGGAAACGGGUGGUAAUGCCGGAUGUUCCAGUUGAUCGCAUGGUCUUCUGGGAAAGCUUUCGCGGUAUGGGAUGGGGUCGCGUCCUAUCAGCUUGACGGCGGGGUAACGGCCCACCGUGGCUUCGACGGGUAGCCGGCCUGAGAGGGCGACCGGCCACAUUGGGACUGAGAUACGGCCCAGACUCCUACGGGAGGCAGCAGUGGGGAAUAUUGCACAAUGGGCGCAAGCCUGAUGCAGCGACGCCGCGUGAGGGAUGGAGGCCUUCGGGUUGUAAACCUCUUUUAUCGGGGAGCAAGCGUGAGUGAGUUUACCCGUUGAAUAAGCACCGGCUAACUACGUGCCAGCAGCCGCGGUAAUACGUAGGGUGCAAGCGUUAUCCGGAAUUAUUGGGCGUAAAGGGCUCGUAGGCGGUUCGUCGCGUCCGGUGUGAAAGUCCAUCGCUUAACGGUGGAUCCGCGCCGGGUACGGGCGGGCUUGAGUGCGGUAGGGGAGACUGGAAUUCCCGGUGUAACGGUGGAAUGUGUAGAUAU
RNAcentral lists this ribosomal RNA (535 nucleotides) under Bifidobacterium longum subsp. suillum. Its description in RNAcentral is "bacterial SSU rRNA". It matches the Rfam family "Bacterial small subunit ribosomal RNA", at positions 147 to 697 of the family's 1533-position model. Lineage: Bacteria; Bacillati; Actinomycetota; Actinomycetes; Bifidobacteriales; Bifidobacteriaceae. The record is from RNAcentral.